RNAcentral lists this ribosomal RNA (457 nucleotides) under uncultured Geobacteraceae bacterium. Its description in RNAcentral is "partial 16S ribosomal RNA". It matches the Rfam family "Bacterial small subunit ribosomal RNA", at positions 338 to 787 of the family's 1533-position model. Lineage: Bacteria; Pseudomonadati; Thermodesulfobacteriota; Desulfuromonadia; Geobacterales; Geobacteraceae. The record is from RNAcentral.
CCUACGGGAGGCAGCAGUGAGGAAUAUUGGGCAAUGCCCGAAAGGGUGACCCAGCAACGCCGCGUGGAGGAUGAAGUCCUUCGGGUCGUAAAGCUCUGUCAGAGGGGAAGAAAUGCAGGUGGUGAACAACCAUUCUGUUUGACGGUACCCUCAAAGGAAGCACCGGCUAACUCCGUGCCAGCAGCCGCGGUAAUACGGAGGGUGCGAGCGUUGUUCGGAAUUAUUGGGCGUAAAGCGCGUGUAGGCGGUUUGUUAAGUCUGAUGUGAAAGCCCCGGGCUCAACCUGGGAAGUGCAUUGGAUACUGGCAGACUUGAGUACGGGAGAGGAGAGUGGAAUUCCCAGUGUAGGAGUGAAAUCCGUAGAUAUUGGGAGGAACCCCGGUGGCGAAGGCGGCUCUCUGGACCGAUACUGACGCUGAGACGCGAAAGCGUGGGGAGCAAACAGGAUUAGAUCCCC